Molecule: ribosomal RNA, 253 nt
Filed under: uncultured bacterium
Lineage: Bacteria
Description: partial 16S ribosomal RNA
Rfam family: Bacterial small subunit ribosomal RNA
Source: RNAcentral
UACGUAGGGCGCAAGCGUUAUCCGGAAUUAUUGGGCGUAAAGGGCUCGUAGGCGGUUUGUCGCGUCGGGAGUGAAAAUCCAGGGCUUAACUCUGGACUGGCUUCCGAUACGGGCAGACUAGAGGUAUGCAGGGGAGAACGGAAUUCCUGGUGUAGCGGUGAAAUGCGCAGAUAUCAGGAGGAACACCGGUGGCGAAGGCGGUUCUCUGGGCAUUACCUGACGCUGAGGAGCGAAAGUGUGGGGAGCGAACAGG